RNAcentral lists this ribosomal RNA (468 nucleotides) under uncultured bacterium. Its description in RNAcentral is "partial 16S ribosomal RNA". It matches the Rfam family "Bacterial small subunit ribosomal RNA", at positions 28 to 507 of the family's 1533-position model. The record is from RNAcentral.
GACGAACGCUGGCGGCGUGCUUAACACAUGCAAGUCGAACGGAAAGGCCCUGCUUUUGUGGGGUGCUCGAGUGGCGAACGGGUGAGUAACACGUGAGUAACCUGCCCUUGACUUUGGGAUAACUUCAGGAAACUGGGGCUAAUACCGGAUAGGAGCUCCUGCUGCAUGGUGGGGGUUGGAAAGUUUCGGCGGUUGGGGAUGGACUCGCGGCUUAUCAGCUUGUUGGUGGGGUAGUGGCUUACCAAGGCUUUGACGGGUAGCCGGCCUGAGAGGGUGACCGGCCACAUUGGGACUGAGAGACGGCCCAGACGCCUACGGGAGGCAGCAGUGGGGAAUAUUGCACAAUGGGCGGAAGCCUGAUGCAGCAACGCCGCGUGCGGGAUGACGGCCUUAGGGUUGUAAACCGCUUUCGCCUGUGACGAAGCGUGAGUGACGGUAAUGGGUAAAGAAGCACCGGCUAACUACGUG